Molecule: ribosomal RNA, 462 nt
Filed under: uncultured bacterium
Lineage: Bacteria
Description: partial 16S ribosomal RNA
Rfam family: Bacterial small subunit ribosomal RNA
Source: RNAcentral
GACGAACGCUGGCGGCGUGCUUAACACAUGCAAGUCGAGCGGAAAGGCCCUUCGGGGUACUCGAGCGGCGAACGGGUGAGUAACACGUGAGUAACCUGCCCCAGACUUUGGGAUAACCCUCGGAAACGGGGGCUAAUACCGGAUACGACACAGCUUCGCAUGGGGUCUGUGUGGAAAGUGUUUCGGUUUGGGAUGGGCUCGCGGCCUAUCAGCUUGUUGGUGGGGUGAUGGCCUACCAAGGCGACGACGGGUAGCCGGCCUGAGAGGGCGACCGGCCACACUGGGACUGAGACACGGCCCAGACUCCUACGGGAGGCAGCAGUGGGGAAUAUUGCACAAUGGGCGGAAGCGUGAUGCAGCGACGCCGCGUGAGGGAUGACGGCCUUCGGGUUGUAAACCUCUUUCAGCAGGGACGAAGCGUAAGUGACGGUACCUGCAGAAGAAGCGCCGGCCAACUACGUG